GAACCUUACCUGGGCUUGAUAUCCUAAGAACCUUUUAGAGAUAAGAGGGUGCUAGCUUGCUAGAACUUAGAGACAGGUGCUGCACGGCUGUCGUCAGCUCGUGUCGUGAGAUGUUGGGUUAAGUCCCGCAACGAGCGCAACCCACGUAUUUAGUUGCUAACGGUUCGGCCGAGCACUCUAAAUAGACUGCCUUCGUAAGGAGGAGGAAGGUGUGGACGACGUCAAGUCAUCAUGGCCCUUAUGCCCAGGGCGACACACGUGCUACAAUGGCAUAUACAAUGAGACGCAAUACCGCGAGGUGGAGCAAAUCUAUAAAAUAUGUCCCAGUUCGGAUUGUUCUCUGCAACUCGAGAGCAUGAAGCCGGAAUCGCUAGUAAUCGUAGAUCAGCCAUGCUACGGUGAAUACGUUCCCGGGUCUUGUACUCACCGCCCGUCACACCAUGGGAGUUGAUUUCACUCGAAGCCGGAAUACUAAACUAGUUACCGUCCACAGUGGAAUCAGCGACUGGGGUGAAGUCGUAACAAGGUAACCGUAGGAGAACCUGCGGUUGGAUCACCUCCUUUCUAG
RNAcentral lists this ribosomal RNA (568 nucleotides) under Campylobacter coli. Its description in RNAcentral is "bacterial SSU rRNA". It matches the Rfam family "Bacterial small subunit ribosomal RNA", at positions 966 to 1533 of the family's 1533-position model. Lineage: Bacteria; Pseudomonadati; Campylobacterota; Epsilonproteobacteria; Campylobacterales; Campylobacteraceae. RNAcentral also lists the same sequence under 1 other name. The record is from RNAcentral.